This is a non-coding RNA of Phoenix dactylifera (date palm), 3938 nucleotides long. The record is from RefSeq and is a predicted model, not a curated record. Lineage: Eukaryota; Viridiplantae; Streptophyta; Magnoliopsida; Arecales; Arecaceae.
UUUCCCUUUUGCGGGGGGGGGGUUCCGGGAAUUUUUAUUAGAACGAGAAGCUGUGUAUUAAGAAAGCUGUUCUUUUUAGAAUGGUGGCUUACAAGAAGUAAUUUUAAAUGAUACAGAGGUGAUGAUUGCACUUGAAAACAAGUGUUUCUGUCAGUAGAACUCUCAACAGUGUUUCCCAUUGGUAAUGCGUGGGAAGGUCCAUGCCAAAGGUUAAUUCCAGAUUCGUUCAAGAUUAGUUCCUGGGUUUUUUUUUAUUUUUCUUUUUAUUCCUUCUUUUUUACUUAAAAACGCCAAUGAACCACUGGAUUCCCUUGUUAAUGGAGAUGAGAAGGCACUGCAUCACUGGAUUUUUUUUUGAAUGGUAUUCCUUGUUGUGAAGUUGAAGGAAAUGAAAUAGAAAGGAGAAGAGAGCAGCUACUUCUACCAGAAUAUGAUUGGGCCGCCCAUUCCCUGGCUUCCAUUAUGAUUUCCUUUCUUGCACUUUCCUAACAACCAAACAGAGCCCUCAUAUCAACUCUUGUAACUUCUGUAUCAUCUCUCUCUCUCUCUCUCUCUCUCUCUCUCUCUCUCUCUCUCUCUGUGUGUGUGUGUGUGUGUGUGUGUCUGCUUUUUUCAUUCAAUGCUACUGGCAAAUUGUGAGAAGAAAAUGUUGUUUAGUGGCUACAUUAUAUGCUUAUGUUUGAGGUUAUGCAUCUUUAUAAUAUCAGUAGGGAUAUGUUGUUUAUGUAUUCUAUGAGCUUGUGAGCAAGGUGGGACUGAGAACAAAUAUUUUCCUAGGAUGGAUUGUGGAGAUUCAUAAACUUGUAUAGGCAUUUGUUAGGCCUUGAACUCCUUAUCCCAGCACUUCUACUUUCUUGCGUGCAUUAUGAAUGUUGCUCUCCUGUCCCUCUUCCUUUUGUAGGAACUUAAGAUAUGCUGUAUCUUUCUUUCCUUUUCUAUUAUAGGAAUAGACAGAGCUGUGAAAAUGUCAUCUGGAUAAGCUUGGUAAUAAAAAAAAUAAUGGUGGAAUUUUGUAACAAAUCGAAAUUGAUUGUGGUAAAAGCAUUUACUUCACCUUUCCUUCUUUAAUUGAGGUCUGUGUCUAUAGAAGAUGGAAGAAUAUCAUGAUAUAGCAGUCACAUUGCAUCGUUCUAUUAGUAAGUUCAUUGAUGAUAGAAAAUGAAUGUGCAAUACCUGUGUGAUAGAAAGCAAUCUUUAGAUUAUCGGCAGUCAAAUAUUGUAACACAAAGGAGAUUAAUGGAUAUCGCUUACCCUGGCUUAGGUGUCUCUGUCUAUUCCUGUGUAAGUUAGCAUGAUUGUUUUAAAAGAGUGAAGUGCGUAAGUCAUCUACAAAGAGAGAUGCAAUUCAAACUGCUUGUCAUAUCUAACUAUACAGGAUUGAGUUAGAAAUCUUAGUGAAGCCUCUAUUCAUAAAACUCCAGUUUAGUAUAGAUUGAAGAUAGCCUCAAGUGGUGGAUAUCAAGUGUGUUGCAAGUAUAGCUAAAAAAAGCCUGUCUGGUUGUCUCUUAUAGAAAUCAGAUACCAUUUUUGUUGUCAUUGACUUUAAGCUCUUUUUUGUUCUUUCUGUCUGCUUUAACAUUGUUCAUUAUCCGGCUAUCAGGUAAGAGUGAACUUGAAUGGAGAGGAGACAGAAAAGGCAUUUGAUGAUGUUGUGUCAAAUUUGGCCCAUGCUGCACCACCUAUUCCAGGGUUUUGUAGAAUGAAAGGAGGUAAGCUUUUGCAGGUAAAAGGCAAUCUGUUGGUAGCUGUGCUGUGCAACCUUUUAUUUGCUAUAAGGUCAUAAUGUUUACUUCUUUGUUCAACAUCUUUGGUCAUCUCUUCCUCCUAGCAACUAGAGAUAGCAUAAUUCCUGCAUAUCCAAAUUUGUCGAAAUUUGGCUCGAGACUUUUCCCCUCUGUGUUCUCUGGAUGACUCAAGGAACUUCCAGAACAUGUAACAUCCUUUCUAUUUGUUGAUUAUGCCCAUAAUUUUUUCAACAAUUGGAACUGAGAGAAAUAAGGGAACAAUGCUGUUUAUGAAUUGAUUAUGAGUUUUCAUUUUGUGAGUUGAGGUUGGAUAAAAAUUACGCACUAGAUUAAACUCAAUGUUUGAUAGGUGGAAAGGAAGAAUACUGCUUGUAGUUUGUUGCUCACCAAUGUGUUAUGAUUUUGGGGUGGCUGAUAAUACUUCAGCAUGUGCUAAAACUCCCAUCUCAGCGAGAGUUUCGUUCAUUUCUGCCUUCUCCAUAUUUUUCACUUUAACAAUUCAUAUUAAUACACAAUGCCCCUUUUUCUUAAGUUGCUUUCUUUCUGCAUAUAUUGGCCUAAACAUAUAUCUUCGUGCGAUAUGACUGUCAAGCUUGGCUGCAAAUUCUUUGUAGGUCUGAAAAAGUUUUCUAUUACAGGUCUUUAGGAGAGACCAUGUUGCCAAAUUCCUUAUCGAUGAACUUGUGGGUGUAACCAUUGGAGACUCUGAAAAAGGCACGCCACUCUUAAACAUUAUUAUGUCUUAGUUUUCUCAUAAAUGGGUUGGGUGAGAACUGUCUUGACUUGCUAUCAGAUCAGGAAAAACUGAAGGUAUAGAGCCAGUUUAAGAUAACACAACAACUGAAGAGCUUGAAUCAGCUUUUACACCAGGGGGUGAAGUUGGAUUCAAUGUUGCUAUUGAUUUUGAGAAAUCAGGUCUUGAAGCUACCAGCUCAGGCUCAUAAUGUUUACUUCUUUCUUCAACAUCUUUGGUCAUCUCUUCCUCCUAGCAACUAGAGAUAGCAUAAUUCCUGCAUAUCCAAAUUUGUCGAAAUCUGGCUCAAGACUUUUCCCCUCUGUGUUCUCUGGAUGACUCAAGGAAAAAAAUCCAAUAUAAGUGACUUCUGAAUAUCAUCUGCAGUUAUAUAUGAACCUAUUUGUGCUUUCGGCUUUUAAAUGCUCUUGUACUUGAACUUCUAGAACAUGUAACAUCCUUUAUUCCUAUAUGUUGAUUAUGCCCAUAAUUUUUUCAAAAAUUUGAACUGGGAGAAAUAAGGGAACAAUGCUGUUUAUAAAUUGAUUAUGAGUUUUCAUUUUGUGAGUUGAGGUUGGAUAAAAAAUAUGCACUCGAUUAAACUCAAUGUUUGAUGGGUGGAAAGGAAGAAUACUGCUUGUAGUUCGUUGCUCACCAACAUGUUAUGAUUUUGGGGUGGCUGAUAAUACUUCAGCAUGUGCUAAAACUCCCAUCCUAGCGAGAGUUUCAUGCAUUUCUACCUUCUCUAUGUUUUUCACAUUAACAAUUCAUAUUAAUACAAAAUGCCCUUUUUUCUUAAGUUGCUUUCUUUCUGCAUAUAUUAGCCUAAACAUAUAUCUUCGUGUGAAAUGACUGUCAAGCUUGGCUGCAAAUUCUUUGCAGGUCUGAAAAAGUUUUCUAUUACAGGUCUUUGGGAGAGACCAUGUUGCCAAAUUCCUUAUCGAUGAAAAUGUGGGUAUAACCAUUGGAGACUCUGAAAAAGGCACGCCACUCUUAAACAUUAUUAUGUCUUAGUUUUCUCAUAAAUGGGUGGGGUGAGAACUGUCUUGACUUGCUAUCAGAUCAGGAAAAACUGAAGGUAUAGAGCCAGUUUAAGAUAACACAACAACUGAAGAGCUUGAAUCAGCUUUUACACCAGGGGGUGAAGUUGGAUUCAAUGUUACUAUUGAUUUUGAGAAAUCAGGUCUUGAAGCUACCAGCUCAGGCUCCUCAUUGGCACUGCACCAGUGUAUUCAUUUUAUUAUGCUCGCUUAGUUAACAAAAAAUUAGAAAAUCAUUCUUCAAGGGUGUGAAUUUGGUUACUUCCCUGAAGAACAAAACAUAUCUUGUUCAAAUGCCAUAUGUUUGGUGGAAAACCAAUGAUUUGUUAUAGCCAUGCCGCCUAGAUGCUUAUGGAGAUUUUCUUAUUCAUGAAUUCGAUCUUGUAGCGCAUGUAGUAAAAGAAAGUGCUACAUUUUCCA